AGCGUAGGCGGUUAGGUAAGCCCUCCGGGAAAUCUCUCGGCUUAACCGGGAAAGGUCGGAGGGGACUGCCUGGCUAGAGGACGGGAGAGGAGCGCGGAAUUCCCGGUGUAGCGGUGAAAUGCGUAGAGAUCGGGAGGAAGGCCGGUGGCGAAGGCGGCGCUCUGGGACGUUCCUGACGCUGAGGCUCGAAAGCGUGGGGAGCAAACAGGAUUAGAUACCCUGGUAGUCCACGCCCUAAACGAUGGACACUAAGUGUCGGCGGGUUACCGCCGGUGCCGCAGCUAACGCAGUAAGUGUCCCGCCUGGGGAGUACGGCCGCAAGGUUGAA
RNAcentral lists this ribosomal RNA (328 nucleotides) under uncultured bacterium. RNAcentral describes it as "bacterial SSU rRNA". It matches the Rfam family "Bacterial small subunit ribosomal RNA", at positions 568 to 898 of the family's 1533-position model. The record is from RNAcentral.